RNAcentral lists this ribosomal RNA (301 nucleotides) under uncultured bacterium. RNAcentral describes it as "partial 16S ribosomal RNA". It matches the Rfam family "Bacterial small subunit ribosomal RNA", at positions 509 to 809 of the family's 1533-position model. The record is from RNAcentral.
CAGUCGCCGCGGGAAUACAGAGGGUGCGAGCGUUAAUCGGAUUUACUGGGCGUAAAGCGUGCGUAGGCGGCUUUUUAAGUCGGAUGUGAAAUCCCUGAGCUUAACUUAGGAAUUGCAUUCGAUACUGGGAAGCUAGAGUAUGGGAGAGGAUGGUAGAAUUCCAGGUGUAGCGGUGAAAUGCGUAGAGAUCUGGAGGAAUACCGAUGGCGAAGGCAGCCAUCUGGCCUAAUACUGACGCUGAGGUACGAAAGCAUGGGGAGCAAACAGGAUUAGAGACCCGUGUAGUCCCUGUCUCUUAUAA